This 62-nucleotide non-coding RNA is filed under the name Paenibacillus sp. RNAcentral describes it as "Fluoride sequence". It matches the Rfam family "Fluoride riboswitch aptamer (crcB RNA motif)". Lineage: Bacteria; Bacillati; Bacillota; Bacilli; Caryophanales; Paenibacillaceae. RNAcentral also lists the same sequence under 1 other name. The record is from RNAcentral.
CAUUAUAUAGGCGAUGGAGUUCGCCGUAUAACCGCCGCGAGGCUAAUGACUCCUACCAGAGA